UGGCCCCUGCCGUGUUUGUGAUUGGAAGAUGUUCUUUGACCCAACAUUUCAAUUAAAGGGAGCCUUCUCUGAUUUUGGUGUGCAUGUUCUGCAUGUGCAGAAAAGCCUGAAAAAAUUAAAGGGCGCCCACCUAUUUUUUAUGGAUCAAAGACCUCCCAACACGGCAUUGUGGCAGGGGUCCU
Molecule: non-coding RNA, 182 nt
Filed under: Desulfobacteraceae bacterium
Lineage: Bacteria; Pseudomonadati; Thermodesulfobacteriota; Desulfobacteria; Desulfobacterales; Desulfobacteraceae
Description: 6S RNA
Rfam family: 6S / SsrS RNA
About the family: E. coli 6S RNA was the first non coding RNA to be sequenced, but its function was unknown until recently.
Source: RNAcentral